This is a long non-coding RNA of Oncorhynchus tshawytscha (Chinook salmon), 501 nucleotides long. The record is from Ensembl. Lineage: Eukaryota; Metazoa; Chordata; Actinopteri; Salmoniformes; Salmonidae.
AUUUACCAGGUGGUCGCUUGGUGUCCUCCGUUGCAAUUGUUGCGUAAUCUCCAGCUGCAGUACUUUUCCAUUUGCUACUGAGGAGAAACCCAACUGCCACGAAGGAUUUAUCAUCGAAUAGAUAUGUGAAAAACACCUUGAGGAUGAUUCUAAACAACGUUUGCCAUGUUUCUGUCGAUAUUAUGGAGUUAAUUUGGAAAAAAGUUUGGCAUUGUAGUGAAUGAAUUUUCGUUGUUUGUUUUCUUAGCCAAAAGUGAUGAACAAAACGGAGCGAUUUCUCCUACACAAAUAAUCUUUUUGGAAAAAAUGAACAUUUGCUAUCUAACUGAGAGUCUCCUCAUUGAAAACAUCCGAAGUUCUUCAAAGGUGGAACCUUUCCCGUUCUAUGCUUCGGAGAAAACUUGUUCCAUCCUCUCGUUGAAAGGACAACGAUAGGUGGGAUAGAAGGUAUUCAUCUAUGUUGACUGCUUAAUAGGGUUGAAAACUCACAAAGAAAUACCU